RNAcentral lists this ribosomal RNA (499 nucleotides) under uncultured bacterium. Its description in RNAcentral is "bacterial SSU rRNA". It matches the Rfam family "Bacterial small subunit ribosomal RNA", at positions 899 to 1397 of the family's 1533-position model. The record is from RNAcentral.
ACUCAAAGGAAUUGACGGGGGCCCGCACAAGCGGUGGAGCAUGUGGAUUAAUUCGAAGCAACGCGAAGAACCUUACCAAGGCUUGACAUCCCGAUGUAAGCUGUAGAAAUACAGCCCCUCUUCGGAGUAUCGGUGACAGGUGGUGCACGGUUGUCGUCAGCUCGUGUCGUGAGAUGUUGGGUUAAGUCCCGCAACGAGCGCAACCCUUAUCUUUAGUAGCCAGCGGAUAAUGCCGGGCACUCUGGAGAGACUGCCGUGGAUAACACGGAGGAAGGUGGGGACGACGUCAAAUCAUCAUGCCCUUUAUGCCUUGGGCUUCACACGUGCUACAAUGGCUCUUACAAAGUGACGCAAACCGGUAACGGCAAGCAAAGCACAAAAAAAGAGUCUCAGUUCGGAUUGGGGUCUGCAAUUCGACCCUAUGAAGUCGGAAUCGCUAGUAAUCGCGAAUCAGCACGUCGCGGUGAAUACGUUCCCGGGCCUUGUACACACCGCCCGU